AGCAAUCUAUACGGGCGAAAGCGAUACCGAAAGGAGUCGUGGACUGUAUAGAAGAGAGAAUGCCGGCAUAAGUAGCGAGAGAGAGGCGAGAAACCUCUCCGUCGAGAGUCUGAGGUUUCCCGGGGAAGGUUCGUCCGCCCGGGGUAAGUCGGGACCUAAGUCGAGGUCGAAAGGCGUAGAUGAUGGACAACCGGUAGAAAUUCCGGUACUGCCGAAGAUCGACUAAAUGAAGCGAUGACACAGAAGGAUAGUCAAACCGUGCGGAUGGAAAAGCGCGGCCAAGGCGAGGAACAGGCAUAGAGUGAAGUACCUAUGUAGGAUGUUUUGCGCCGAUGGGGAAGUGAAGAAAAGUAAAUAAGUUGACGAAUCCACGCUGGCGAGAAAAGUCGCUAAAUAAGGUCGGAGGCACCCGUACCGCAAACCGACACAGGUAGACGCGAAGAAAAUUCAUAGACGAACGGGAGAACCCUUGUUAAGGAACUCGGCAAAAUGACCUCGUAACUUCGGGAGAAGGGGAGCCACCGAGAGGUGGUCGCAGUGAAGAGGUCCAAGCAACUGUUUAGCAAAAACACAGGUCUCUGCGAAAUCGAAAGAUGACGUAUAGGGGCUGACGCCUGCCCAGUGCCGGAAGGUUAAGGGGAGAUGUCAGGAGCAAUCCGAAGCGUUGAACUUAAGCCCCGGUGAACGGCGGCCGUAACAAUAACGGUCCUAAGGUAGCGAAAUUCCUUGUCGGGUAAGUUCCGACCCGCACGAAAGGCGUAAUGAUUUGGACGCUGUCUCAACAGGGGGCCCGGCGAAAUUGUAGUAUACGUGAAGAUGCGUAUUAACCCGCGACUGGACGGAGAGACCCCGUAGAGCUUUACUGUAACUUGAUAUUGAUGCACGACAAGGAAUGCACAGGAUAGGUGGGAGACUUGGAGGCAGGGACUUUGGUUUCUGCGGAGUCGGCGUUGGGAUACCACUCUUUCCUUGUUGGGCAUCUAACGGACGGCCGUGAGCCGGCGUACGGACAGUGUCAGGUGGGCAGUUUGACUGGGGCGGUCGCCUCCUAAAAUGUAACGGAGGCGCCCAAAGGUUCCCUCAGGAUGGUUGGAAAUCAUCCUACGAGUGUAAAGGCAGAAGGGAGCUUGACUGCGAGACCGGCAGGUCGAGCAGAUACGAAAGUAGGGCUUAGUGAUCCGGCGGUAGAGAAUGGAAUUGCCGUCGCUUAACGGAUAAAAGUUACCUCGGGGAUAACAGGCUGAUCUCCCCCAAGAGUUCACAUCGACGGGGAGGUUUGGCACCUCGAUGUCGGCUCGUCACAUCCUGGGGCUGAAGCAGGUCCCAGGGGUUCGGCUGUUCGCCGAUUAAAGUGGCACGCGAGCUGGGUUCAGAACGUCGUGAGACAGUUCGGUCCCUAUCCAUCGUGGGCGUAGGAUAUUUGAGAGGCUUUGUCCCUAGUACGAGAGGACCGGGAUGAACGCACCUAUUGUGCACCUGUUGUCGUGCCAACGGCAUAGCAGGGUAGCGAAGUGCGGAUGGGAUAAACGCUGAAAGCAUCUAAGCGUGAAACUCGCCUCAAGAUAAGAUAUCCCAAACGAAAGUUUGUAAGACCCCUGAAAGACGAUCAGGUUGAUAGGUCGGGAGUGUAAGCGCUGUAAGGCGUUAAGCUGACCGAUACUAAUAGGUCGAGGGCUUAUUC
RNAcentral lists this ribosomal RNA (1681 nucleotides) under metagenome. Its description in RNAcentral is "bacterial LSU rRNA". It matches the Rfam family "Bacterial large subunit ribosomal RNA", at positions 1235 to 2925 of the family's 2925-position model. The record is from RNAcentral.